Molecule: unclassified non-coding RNA, 1259 nt
Filed under: Hevea brasiliensis (rubber tree)
Lineage: Eukaryota; Viridiplantae; Streptophyta; Magnoliopsida; Malpighiales; Euphorbiaceae
Source: RNAcentral
AAAAAAAAAAAAAAAAAAAAAAGCGUAUUUAGGAUAAUGAUAUUGGUAAGAUUAUUGAGAUGAUGCAAUGGUGAUGUGUGUGGAUUAUACAAAAUUGAGUUUGUACCACUUUAUUUAACCAAAUCAAAAUUCACGCAAUUCCAUUCUGUGGUUCAGAUUCAGUUCGAAGUCUAGUUUUUUUGGUGUUCAGGGAAAUUUCAGGCGACGCAAGUGAUGUCUGCUAGUAACACACUCUACUAAUAAUAAUUGACCAGUCGUCUUUUCUUUGGGCAACCGUAAUUUUGCAAUUAAAGUAAUGGUAAACUCUGGGUUUGGAAGUUCUUUCAUCCAAAUUUUUAUUAAAAAAUAAUUGUAAUUUACCAAGAGUGCGAAGUGGAUACAGAGUGCAAUUUAACUGUACUUUGUCCCACCAAUCUGUUACUUAUUUGCCGAAGGUGUGGUGGUUUUGGAAGGUCAAGUGACGUGUUGACUGUAUGCCUGUUUGCCCAGUUUGUGCUGUCAUUGAGCUGACUACUCUUUAUGCACUGGUGGAAUGUGAUGCUGCAAAGGAAGUAUGGUUGCUGAGUGGGCUGGGUCGGAGGAUGUCUUUGGGCAAUUGAUUGAGGCGCUUGAUCAGCGCGAUGACAUGCAUUGAAGUGAAUUGGCUCUUGUGCUCUUUUGGGCCUGUGCUAUGAUAGAAAUGGAGUGGUUUGGCGCCAGGGGCAACUAGCCACAGCACAGGGUGAUGACGCUAGCCAAAUCUGCUCUUGAUAAGUGGCAAGGGGCUCAAGUACUUUGGCUCUUUAUGCAACCUGUUCAACCAGCCAGUCAAUGGUAACCUCCACCGCAUGGCACGAUUAAGUGCAAUUUGGAUGGGGCUGUUGACCUUUGCAAUGGGAGAACGGGUAUGGAUGGGUACUAAGGGAUGCGGAGUGUCACUUUUUAUAUGCUACAAAGCAACUCCACGGCUUGCAGAAGUUUAUGCGGUAAGAGAGGGGCCCUAGUUGGCUCAAGGAACAGAGCUUCUCCCAUGUUCAAGUUGAAACUGAUUGCCUUUCUUUUCUUCAAGCUAUCAACGGUGCAACUAUGGGUGAAUCUUAUUUUGGUAGUUUGCUCUUGCUGAUGUAAAAGCUCUUUUGGAUUAACUAUCUUUUGUUUAUGUUUCUUUUAUUCGUAAAUAAGUGAAUCAGACAGCCCAUGCUUUGGCUAAGUUAUUGUUUCUGCGUCUGAUUUGGAUGGCCAUCAUUCUUGUUUGAUGUUUUCCAUUUUUGACGUUGAUA